CCUCGCCUCUUUACGUCCAAAGAGUUGGAUGUCCAUCUGGCAAAGAUCCAAGGCGUGGUGAUGUCUAGAACAGAAGGCUGCAGGACUUCUUCGACAGGCUGCUGCUCCAACUUCAAGAAGACUUUUGAAGAUCUUUCUAAUCAGAUUUAGAUCUAAUUUUUGGAGCAUAGAUUCACGAGGAGAAGGCAUUCUAGGUCCU
RNAcentral lists this long non-coding RNA (199 nucleotides) under Elaeis guineensis (African oil palm). RNAcentral describes it as "long non-coding RNA (EGUI_LNC066494)". Lineage: Eukaryota; Viridiplantae; Streptophyta; Magnoliopsida; Arecales; Arecaceae. The record is from RNAcentral.